Molecule: ribosomal RNA, 486 nt
Filed under: uncultured bacterium
Lineage: Bacteria
Description: partial 16S ribosomal RNA
Rfam family: Bacterial small subunit ribosomal RNA
Source: RNAcentral
AUUGAACGCUGGCGGCAUGCCUUACACAUGCAAGUCGAACGGCAGCACGGGUGCUUGCACCUGGUGGCGAGUGGCGAACGGGUGAGUAAUACAUCGGAACAUGUCCUGUAGUGGGGGAUAGCCCGGCGAAAGCCGGAUUAAUACCGCAUACGAUCUACGGAUGAAAGCGGGGGACCUUCGGGCCUCGCGCUAUAGGGUUGGCCGAUGGCUGAUUAGCUAGUUGGUGGGGUAAAGGCCUACCAAGGCGACGAUCAGUAGCUGGUCUGAGAGGACGACCAGCCACACUGGGACUGAGACACGGCCCAGACUCCUACGGGAGGCAGCAGUGGGGAAUUUUGGACAAUGGGCGAAAGCCUGAUCCAGCAAUGCCGCGUGUGUGAAGAAGGCCUUCGGGUUGUAAAGCACUCUUGUCCGGAAAGAAAUCCUUGGCCCUAAUACGGUCGGGGGAUGACGGUACCGGAAGAAUAAGCACCGGCUAACUACGUG